UACGGAGGAUUCAAGCGUUAUCCGGAUUUAUUGGGUUUAAAGGGUGCGUAGGCGGUCGGAUAAGUUAGAGGUGAAAUCCCGGGGCUCAACUUCGGAAUUGCCUCUGAUACUGUUCGGCUAGAGAGUAGUUGCGGUAGGCGGAAUGUAUGGUGUAGCGGUGAAAUGCUUAGAGAUCAUACAGAGCACCGAUUGCGAAGGCAGCUUACCAAGCUACUUCUGACGUUGAGGCACGAAAGCGUGGGGAGCAAACAGG
RNAcentral lists this ribosomal RNA (253 nucleotides) under uncultured bacterium. RNAcentral's name for it is "partial 16S ribosomal RNA". It matches the Rfam family "Bacterial small subunit ribosomal RNA", at positions 524 to 776 of the family's 1533-position model. The record is from RNAcentral.